GUUCCGUGGAAUUUCCAUGGAAUUUAUGCUUUCGAGUUGUUUGUGCUGAAACGCAUUCUCUCGUAUAAUACCCCGUACACUUUGAAAUGGCGAUGCCACAAUUUACCCCGCAGCAGAGAGCUUUUAUGCAUGUAUACAUGGUAUCAGAGUUCCUCCGUAGCAACAACAUAAACUUGGUUCGCCAACGUUUCACGAACGAUUAUCCAGAUGUACGAUGCCCUUCACGUAUUCGCACGUGAGGGGCAUCGUACAUCUGGAUAUUCUUUCGUGAAACUUUGGCGAACCAAGUUUAUGUGGUUGCUACGGAGGAACUCUGAUACCAUGUAUACAUGCAUAAAAGCUCUCUGCUGCGGGGUAAAUUGUGGCAUCGCCAUUUCAAAGUGUACGGGGUAUUAUACGAGAAAAUGCGUUUCAGCACAAACAACUCGAAAGCACAAAUUCCAUGGAAAUUCCACGGAACUCUCAUGGGAGUAAAAAUGAAUUCAUAAUGAAGCAAGAACAGCACCAACAGAGUUUUUUAAACGUUUUCAUAGGCUUUUCGGAGGAUUUGUACUCGGUAAAAUCCUGCCGAAAUUUUAUCAUAAAUGCAACAAAUAGCGAACUUUUCAUACAUGAACUCAAAUAAAGAAUACCGUUUGUCAUUUCCGUGCGCAAGCCACUUUUAGGAGAGCAAAAGUUGACCACCCCCCUGGAUAGCAAAAUUUACUAUUUUUAAUUUUUUUUAUAUUUUCCAUAAUUUAAGAACUCAAGCAAUCCAUAC
Molecule: long non-coding RNA, 760 nt
Filed under: Paramuricea clavata
Lineage: Eukaryota; Metazoa; Cnidaria; Anthozoa; Malacalcyonacea; Plexauridae
Source: RNAcentral